Molecule: ribosomal RNA, 1509 nt
Filed under: Ignicoccus islandicus DSM 13165
Lineage: Archaea; Thermoproteati; Thermoproteota; Thermoprotei; Desulfurococcales; Desulfurococcaceae
Description: bacterial SSU rRNA
Rfam family: Archaeal small subunit ribosomal RNA
Source: RNAcentral
UGCGGCCGUGGCUCCGGUUGAUCCUGCCGGACCCGACCGCUAUCGGGGUAAGGCUAAGCCAUGGGAGUCGAACGCCCGCCGCCGCGGGCGUGGCGGACGGCUGAGUAACACGUGGCUAACCUACCCUCGGGAGGGGGAUAACACCGGGAAACUGGUGCUAAUCCCCCAUAGGGGCGGUGGCCUGGAAGGGUACCGCCCCGAAAGGGGGAGGCGGGGGUUAUCGCCGCCUCUCCGCCCGAGGAUGGGGCUGCGCCCUAUCAGGUAGUUGGCGGGGUAACGGCCCGCCAAGCCUAAGACGGGUAGGGGCCGUGGGAGCGGGAGCCCCCAGAUGGGCACUGAGACAAGGGCCCAGGCCCUACGGGGCGCACCAGGCGCGAAAACUCCGCAAUGCGGGCAACCGUGACGGGGUUACCCCGAGUGCCCCCAUUACGGGGGCUUUUCCCCGCUGUAAACAGGCGGGGGUAAUAAGCGGGGGGCAAGUCUGGUGUCAGCCGCCGCGGUAAUACCAGCCCCGCGAGUGGUCGGGACGUUUAUUGGGCCUAAAGCGCCCGUAGCCGGCCUGGUAGGUCCCCUCCUAAAACCCGGGGCUCAACCCCGGGGGUGGAGGGGAAACCACCAGGCUAGGGGGCGGGAGAGGCCGAGGGUACUCCCGGGGUAGGGGCGAAAUCCGAUAAUCCCGGGAGGACCGCCAGUGGCGAAGGCGCUCGGCUGGAACGCGCCCGACGGUGAGGGGCGAAAGCCGGGGGAGCGAACCGGAUUAGAUACCCGGGUAGUCCCGGCUGUAAACGAUGCGGGCUAGGUGUUGGGCGGGCUUCGAGCCCGCCCAGUGCCGCAGGGAAGCCGUUAAGCCCGCCGCCUGGGGAGUACGGCCGCAAGGCUGAAACUUAAAGGAAUUGGCGGGGGAGCACCACAAGGGGUGGAGCCUGCGGCUUAAUUGGAGUCAACGCCGGGAACCUCACCGGGGGCGACAGCAGGAUGAAGGUCAGGCUGAAGACCUUACCUGACGCGCUGAGAGGAGGUGCAUGGCCGUCGCCAGCUCGUGCCGUGAGGUGUCCGGUUAAGUCCGGCAACGAGCGAGACCCCCACCCCUACUUGCUACCCGGGGCUCCGGCCCCGGGGCACAGUAGGGGGACUGCCGCCGUAUAAGGCGGAGGAAGGAGGGGGCUAUGGCAGGUCAGCAUGCCCCGAAACCCCCGGGCUGCACGCGGGCUACAAUGGCGGGGACAGCGGGUUGCGACCCCGAAAGGGGGAGCAAAUCCCUCAAACCCCGCCGAGGUUGGGAUCGAGGGCUGCAACUCGCCCUCGUGAACGCGGAAUCCCUAGUAACCGCACGUUAGCAUCGUGCGGUGAACACGUCCCUGCUCCUUGCACACACCGCCCGUCGCUCCACCCGAGGGAGGAGGGGGUGAGGCCCCCGGGGGAAACCCCGGGGGUCGAACCCCCUCCUCCCGAGGGGGGAGAAGUCGUAACAAGGUAGCCGUAGGGGAACCUGCGGCUGGAUCACCUCCA